GGGGACGUGGCGGAACUGGCAGACGCGCAUGACUUAGGAUCAUGUGGUUUACCCGUGAGAGUUCGAGUCUCUCCGUCCCCA
RNAcentral lists this transfer RNA (81 nucleotides) under Chloroflexota bacterium. RNAcentral describes it as "Chloroflexi bacterium tRNA-Leu". It matches the Rfam family "tRNA". Rfam says of the family: Transfer RNA (tRNA) molecules are approximately 80 nucleotides in length. The record is from RNAcentral. Lineage: Bacteria; Bacillati; Chloroflexota. RNAcentral also lists the same sequence under 1 other name.